UACGUAGGGCGCAAGCGUUGUCCGGAAUUAUUGGGCGUAAAGAGCUCGUAGGCGGUUUGUCGCGUCUGCCGUGAAAGUCCGGGGCUCAACUCCGGAUCUGCGGUGGGUACGGGCAGACUAGAGUGAUGUAGGGGGAGACUGGAAUUCCUGGUGUAGCGGUGAAAUGCGCAGAUAUCAGGAAGAACACCCGUGGCGAAGGCGGCGCUCUGGAACAUUUCUGACGCUGAGGCUCGAAAGCGUGGGGAGCAAACAGG
Molecule: ribosomal RNA, 254 nt
Filed under: uncultured bacterium
Lineage: Bacteria
Description: partial 16S ribosomal RNA
Rfam family: Bacterial small subunit ribosomal RNA
Source: RNAcentral